RNAcentral lists this ribosomal RNA (322 nucleotides) under uncultured eukaryote. RNAcentral's name for it is "partial 18S ribosomal RNA". It matches the Rfam family "Eukaryotic small subunit ribosomal RNA", at positions 1470 to 1796 of the family's 1831-position model. The record is from RNAcentral.
CCCUUAGAUGUCCCGGGCCGCACGCGCGCUACACUGACAUGUUCAACAAGUUUCUCCUAGUUCGACAGGACUGGGAAAUCUUUGAACGCAUGUCGUGAUAGGGAUAGAUCAUUGCAAUUAUUGAUCUUGAACGAGGAAUUCCUAGUAAACGCGAGUCAUCAGCUCGCAUUGAUUACGUCCCUGCCCUUUGUACACACCGCCCGUCGCACCUACCGAUUGAAUGUUUCGGUGAAGAUUCCGGAUAGGACUGAUUUGAUUUAUUUCAUUUCUGACCUAAAAGCUAUCUAAACCUCAACAUUUAGAGGAAGGUGAAGUCGUAACA